AGGCCGUGAUGGGGACACUUGCGUAAUAGCUCCUUGAACCUUUCCCAAGUUUCAUAUAAGGAUUCCCCGUCCUCUUGUGAAUAUGUAUUGAUUUCAGUCAUUAACUU
Molecule: non-coding RNA, 107 nt
Organism: Helianthus annuus (common sunflower)
Lineage: Eukaryota; Viridiplantae; Streptophyta; Magnoliopsida; Asterales; Asteraceae
Source: Rfam